AGAGUUUGAUCAUGGCUCAGGACGAACGCUGGCGGCGUGCUUAACACAUGCAAGUGGAGCGACGAACCGGGCUUCGGCCCGGGGCAAAGCCGCGAACGGGUGAGUAUCACGUGGGUAACCUGCCCCGAUGACCGGGACAACCCGAGGAAACUCGGGCUAAUACCGGAUGUGCUCUCAAUCCACCAGGGUUGGGAGUAAAGGAAGCUUCGGCCUCCGCAUUGGGAUGGGCCCGCGGCCCAUUAGCUUGUUGGUGAGGUAAAAGCUCACCAAGGCGACGAUGGGUAGCUGGUCUGAGAGGACGAUCAGCCACACUGGGACUGAGACACGGCCCAGACUCCUACGGGAGGCAGCAGUGGGGAAUCUUGCGCAAUGCGCGAAAGCGUGACGCAGCAACGCCGCGUGAGGGAAGAAGGCCUUCGGGUUGUAAACCCCUUUCAGUUGGGACGAAGCUUCGCCGGUUAAUAGCCGGCUGGAGUGACGGUACCUUCAGAAGAAGCCCCGGCUAACUACGUGCCAGCCGCGGCGGUAAUAC
Molecule: ribosomal RNA, 532 nt
Filed under: uncultured bacterium
Lineage: Bacteria
Description: bacterial SSU rRNA
Rfam family: Bacterial small subunit ribosomal RNA
Source: RNAcentral